GCGGCGUGCCUAAUACAUGCAAGUCGAGCGAAUGGAUUGAGAGCUUGCUCUCAAGAAGUUAGCGGCGGACGGGUGAGUAACACGUGGGUAACCUGCCCAUAAGACUGGGAUAACUCCGGGAAACCGGGGCUAAUACCGGAUAACAUUUUGAACUGCAUGGUUCGAAAUUGAAAGGCGGCUUCGGCUGUCACUUAUGGAUGGACCCGCGUCGCAUUAGCUAGUUGGUGAGGUAACGGCUCACCAAGGCAACGAUGCGUAGCCGACCUGAGAGGGUGAUCGGCCACACUGGGACUGAGACACGGCCCAGACUCCUACGGGAGGCAGCAGUAGGGAAUCUUCCGCAAUGGACGAAAGUCUGACGGAGCAACGCCGCGUGAGUGAUGAAGGCUU
This 390-nucleotide ribosomal RNA is filed under the name Bacillus sp. IC80. RNAcentral's name for it is "bacterial SSU rRNA". It matches the Rfam family "Bacterial small subunit ribosomal RNA", at positions 39 to 417 of the family's 1533-position model. The record is from RNAcentral. Lineage: Bacteria; Bacillati; Bacillota; Bacilli; Caryophanales; Bacillaceae.